Molecule: transfer RNA, 73 nt
Filed under: Nanobdellota archaeon
Lineage: Archaea; Nanobdellati; Nanobdellota
Description: tRNA-Gln
Rfam family: tRNA
About the family: Transfer RNA (tRNA) molecules are approximately 80 nucleotides in length. Their secondary structure includes four short double-helical elements and three loops (D, anti-codon, and T loops).
Source: RNAcentral
AGUCCUGUAUUGUAGUGGUCAAGCAUGUCAGGCCCUGGACCUGGAGACGGAGGUUCAAAUCCUCCCAGGACUA